RNAcentral lists this ribosomal RNA (309 nucleotides) under Triticum aestivum (bread wheat). RNAcentral describes it as "partial small subunit ribosomal RNA". Lineage: Eukaryota; Viridiplantae; Streptophyta; Magnoliopsida; Poales; Poaceae. The record is from RNAcentral.
AUGCCACUUUUCAUGGUCAUCGAUUUGUCACCCGAGACAUUUUCGUUGGGAGUGCCCCCUUUUCCUGUUAGUGCUGACCUUUACCAAUCAUUUGCUUCCUAUGUUUACAUGGAUUGCAGUGGACCAUAUUGCGCUCUUAUUUUAUUUUUAGCUAGGAAUGGCUUGCUAACAUAUUUGGUAAAUCGACAGGUGUUCCAGUUUUCGUCUAGAUUUCUGCUGAAUUUGGUUUCUGGUGUGAGCAUUUUCGUGGAUGCAUGGAUCAAGCGGGAUUGUGUUGUCUCAGUUGUUGGAUUUAUGUCAAUGCCGUAG